CCUACAUUUUAGGUAAAACCUGCCCAGUGAUUAACGGCCGCGGUACCUUGACCGUGCUAAGGUAGCAUAAUCAAUUGGCUUUUAAGUGGAGUCUAGUAUGAACGGAUGGGGAUCAGCUGUCUCACCAGUAUUCAAUUGAACUUACUUUUUAGGUGAAAAAGCCUAAAUAUUUUAAAAAGACGAGAAGACCCUAGGAACUUAUUUUUGUUGGGGCGACAGGGGGUUUCUGUAAUAACUUGUCACUUUUCAGUAAGAAAAAGUUACCCUAGGGAUAACAGCAUAAUUUAAGAUUGUGACCUCGAUGUUGGACUAGGAACCUAGUAGGUGAACUACCUACUGUGAGUAGUUCUGUUCGAACUAAUACUC
RNAcentral lists this ribosomal RNA (366 nucleotides) under Acteon sp. KF28. RNAcentral describes it as "partial large subunit ribosomal RNA". It matches the Rfam family "Archaeal large subunit ribosomal RNA", at positions 1932 to 2663 of the family's 2987-position model. Lineage: Eukaryota; Metazoa; Mollusca; Gastropoda; Acteonidae. The record is from RNAcentral.